This 128-nucleotide ribosomal RNA is filed under the name Salvator merianae (Argentine black and white tegu). Lineage: Eukaryota; Metazoa; Chordata; Lepidosauria; Squamata; Teiidae. The record is from RNAcentral.
GAUUACAAACAAAGCACAGACCAUAGCAGCUUCUUUCUAAUAACUUCAAAGCAAAUGAAGUAGGUAUUAUUGUCAUGCUUGGUUAGUACUCUGAUGAGACUGCCUGAGAAUACCAGGUACUGUAGGCU